GUCGAGGCUCUUAUUCCGCCCGAGACGACGUUUCUUUCUGCACGCGUGAAGUUCCACACCGCGAGUCCCGGCGAGGCCGGGCAGGGAGAGAUCGAGUCGAUGCGCCUGGAGCGAAUCCCGAAACUCACUACGCCACCUACGGGAAAACGGCUAUCGCUUUACAACUUCAACAUCCACAAGAUGCGAGACGACUGGCCGGGAUGGAUCAG
Molecule: unclassified non-coding RNA, 209 nt
Filed under: uncultured fungus
Lineage: Eukaryota; Fungi
Description: sequence contains ITS1
Source: RNAcentral